RNAcentral lists this transfer RNA (66 nucleotides) under Tychaedon coryphoeus (Karoo scrub-robin). Its description in RNAcentral is "Cercotrichas coryphoeus (Karoo scrub-robin) tRNA-Ser". Lineage: Eukaryota; Metazoa; Chordata; Aves; Passeriformes; Muscicapidae. The record is from RNAcentral.
GAGGGGUGGUCUAACCAGCAAGAACUGCUAACUCUUGCAUCUGAGUUUAAAACCUCAGCCCCCUUA